Tephrocybe rancida is the source of this 95-nucleotide non-coding RNA. NCBI's taxonomy places the organism in Eukaryota, Fungi, Basidiomycota, Agaricomycetes, Agaricales, Lyophyllaceae. The record is from the annotation of a GenBank genome assembly.
UCUUUGCUAGUAUAUCGGUUAGUACACGUGCCUGUCAUGCGAUAGUGAGUAUUGUGAUUCCGCGCGAAAGCUGGGUUCGACUCCCAGGCAGAGAG